AUGGUGGCGCACCAGGAGGCGGAGGCGACGACAACGACGACGGUGGACCCGAUGCGCCUGGCGUCGCGGUGGCGGUCCCCGGCGGAGUGGGUUGCCACCGCAGCGGCACUGGACUCGGAGCCCAUGCCAUCCGAGCUGAACACCGCCAACAGCUCGGGCCUCUUUGCAGUCGUCUCCGUCGACAAGAUGUCCGUCAAGUACCUCGGCGUCAACCACCACGGCCAUGACGUCGGAGUCGUGCAGGCCGACUGCCCCGCUCCCAUGCACCGAGCCGUCUACUACUUUGAGAUGACCGUGAGGAAUGCUGGGCUCAAGGGCCAGACCUCCAUCGGCUUCACCACCGAGAGCUUCAAGAUGCGCCGCCAACCUGGUUGGGAAUCUCAAAGUUGUGGAUACCAUGGCGAUGAUGGCUAUCUUUACCGGGGUCCAGGGAAAAGUGAGUCUUUUGGUCCCAAAUUCACAUCUGGCGACAUAAUUGGCGCUGGAAUUAACUACAUAGAACAACUUCUUUUCUUCACAAAAAAUGGAUCUCUCAUUGGAGCCUUUCCAAAAGAUAUUAAAGGACCACUAUAUCCUACUAUUGCGGUCCAUAGCCAGGAUGAAGAGUUGACAGUAAACUUCGGAAAAGAACAGUUCUGUUUUGAUAUUGAGGGUUAUAUUCUUGAGCAGAAAAUGACGCAACAAUCUAUUAGCGACAAACUGUACUUGCAACCUGAUAUCAGUCAUUGGAUUGUUCGUUCAUAUCUCCUACAUUACGGCUACCAAGAUACAUUGAAUUCUUUUGAUGCGGCAAGUGAAACUGACCCUCCAGCGAAUCAUCAAACUGGUUAUGGGGAACCUCCUGAAAUGUAUGGUCUUAGCCACAGAAAAAUGUUGCGUCAGCUCAUCAUGAAUGGGGAUAUCGAUUCUGCAUUCAAAAGGCUUGAAGAGUGGUAUCCACAGGUCUUAAAGGACGAAAUAUCAGUUAUUUGCUUCUUGCUUCAUUCUCAGAGAUUCAUUGAAUACAUCAGGGCUGAGCAACUGGAGGGUGCUGUAAAAUAUGCCCGUGCUAACCUGGCCAACUUUUUGGCACACAAAGCUUUUGAGGGGUUGCUGAAGGAGAGUGUGGCCCUGCUUGCGUAUGAGAAGCCUUCAGAAUCUUGCAUUGGAUAUUUGCUGGAGUCCCCACAGCGUGAAUUUGUAGCGGACGCGGUGAAUGCUGCCAUCCUGUCCACGAACCCCAAAAUGAAGGAUCCAGAGAGCUGCCUUUACUCGUGUCUGGAGAAGUUACUGAGGCAGCUCACGGUAUGCAGCUCCGAGCUACGUGCGUUCAACAGCGAUCAAGGGGAUGUCUUCUUACUUCAUAAGGAGAUAUACGAAAGAUCCAAGCGUCCCUAA
Molecule: ribosomal RNA, 1377 nt
Filed under: Triticum aestivum (bread wheat)
Lineage: Eukaryota; Viridiplantae; Streptophyta; Magnoliopsida; Poales; Poaceae
Description: partial small subunit ribosomal RNA
Source: RNAcentral